UUUAAAUGCAACCAUAAGUUUUCGCGCUCAACUUUGAUCGUCCGUCUUAUUUGAAAAUUUUUAAUAAUUAGUAUUUUUGUUAUUAUGUACUCGUGACUUUUUUUUUUAAUUUUUUUAAAUAAGAUGGACGAUCAAAAUUGAGCGUGAAAAACUAUAGCUGCACUCAAA
MicroRNA precursor from Oryza rufipogon (brownbeard rice), 168 nucleotides. It matches the Rfam family "MIR812 microRNA precursor family". Lineage: Eukaryota; Viridiplantae; Streptophyta; Magnoliopsida; Poales; Poaceae. The record is from Rfam.